This 2510-nucleotide long non-coding RNA is filed under the name Sus scrofa (pig). RNAcentral describes it as "lncRNA (ENSSSCG00035001358.1)". Lineage: Eukaryota; Metazoa; Chordata; Mammalia; Artiodactyla; Suidae. The record is from RNAcentral.
GAAGAAGGUGGGGUUUGGCGAGAACCCGGAAGUGGGGCGGGGAAGCGGGCUUGCUGUUCCCGGGUACUUGGGCGCAGGACCGAGAGGGGGCAGGGCGCGUUAGAGCAGAAGGGCGUUCCGGAAGCGGCGCUUGCGCACCUUGGGCGCGAGAUGUUGACUUAGGCCCGCUGCGUACCUAACCCUGCCCCUUGAUAGCUCCGCCUACGGUGGUAAAUAUUGGAAAGGUGAAUUAGCCUCAGCUGCUACUAUCCAGUCCCCGUCGUUCCACCCUCCGUUCUCAGAGGGAAGACUGAGGUGCCGGAUGUGAAGAAGAGGGAGAGCGUGGAGACUUGGAGCCCUAAGUGAGGGGUGGGACGGAUGGCCUGUUUGAGACUCGCACACCCGGGAUCGACUGGGGAUUGGGGGCCCUGGGGGUAGGGACUGAGGGUGUGCGAUCUGGAAGCGAAGGGAGUCGUUGCAGAGGCCGCCAACAGUAUCUUUGGUGGUGGAAUCGCCAGCCUGGGAAGACGGAGACAAGGCGGGCCAGAAGGGGGCGAGUUUGAGGAGAAUCCCUUUUGUAAGGCGGGAAUGUCGGGGAGUCCUGAAUGGGUCCGCAUUCUAACACCCGGACGUAUGAGAGGUCUGCGCCAGCCUGUAGGGACACUUUCAGGGUGUAGCCGUGGUUGGAAAAAAGCUCUUUUUACUUCAGUUCAUUUUUGUUUCCUAAGGUAGUACGUUCACAUUUAAAGACUCAAGAACUUGCAUAAGGCUUUAUUACUCGAAAACUUUUCUCCUACGGGGUUUUCUGUUCUGUGAGGAAAUAUUUUCAAACCUUUGAGAUUUUCUUCUCCAGAAGUUUUAUUUCUUCCUUUUAAAUCUGCCUCUCUGUGUUCUUCAUCAGCUUCUUAUAUUUCAGUUUGAAAUAUUUCUUGAUUUCCUAUGUCUCCUGGCCAUUCUUGCUGCAGUAUGCGUGUAGUCAGCCAUUUGCUUUUCUUUCUCUUUUUCUCGCCAUACCCCAACUACGUUUUGCACUGGUUCCUUUUUGACAUCUCAUCUUGGAGUGAGCUUAGAAUUCAGCCGGUUGCGGGAGUUGGUCCAGCACUUUUUCUCAUGCUCUUAUAUUUUUUCUUUAUUAUUUUGUUAUUAUUUUAUUUUAUUGUAUAGCCGCACCUGUGGCAUACGGAAAUUUUCCUGCUAGGGGUCGAAUCGGAGCUGUAGCCACUAGCCUACGCCAGAGCCACAGCAACGCAGGAUCCAAGCCGCGUCUGCAACCUACACCACAGCUCACGGCAACGCCGGAUUGUUAACCCGCUGAGCAAGGGCAGGGACCGAACCCGCAACCUCAUGGUUCCUAGUCAGAUUCGUUAACCACUGCGCCACGACGGGAACUCCCCUGUUCCUUUUUUCUAAGGUCUGUUGCCAGUAAAGCUGUCUUUCUUUUUUUUUUCCUUUUAUCCUACCCAGUUAUGGAGGUUUUUGGUUUUGUUUUGUCUCUCCUCCCCACCCCCCUCCACCCUGCAGCAUAUGGAAGUUCCCAAGCCAGGGAUUGAAUCUGAGCCAGAUCCUUCAACCCACUUCUCUGGGCCAUGGUUCAAAUCCACACCUCUGCAUCAACUGGAGCCAUAGUUGCAGCAGUGCUGGAUCCUUCAGACACUGCUGGGCUGGGUAUCGAACCUGCGUCCCAGUGCUCCAGAGAUGCAUGGAAAAUUUUAGGCCAUCGCUUUGUUACCAAAAUUUGUGUCUGAUGCACAGUGAGCCCAGACCUACUGAAGUGUUGGAAUUUGGAGCAUAGAAUGGUUUGUUGCAGAGCUAAGCAAAGGGGAUGGGUGAUUCAUGCUCAGAAACCCCAAACUUUCCUCAUUGGUUUUGGGGGAGAAUAUUUACAGGCAAAAUUUGGGGUGAGGGCUGCAGGGUGUGUGAUUUCCUUUUGAUUGGUUGGUACUGAGGUAGCUCCAGGAAUCUUGAGCUCAGCCUAAGUUGACAUCCUCCACCUGGGUGGGGGCCUUAGUUGCAGUAGCAGAACUCCAAUAUACUGUUAAUGUAUAUUCCUUGAGAAGGAACCUGGACCCCACCCCAAGGCUAUAUUGCUAUUUCUUAACUUCCUCCUUUGUUUCUGUAUUCCCUCCCUUCCCAGAAUAGCAACUGUUUGAACCUGCCCUUUGGAAUCCAGGGAAGGUCUUGGAGGCUAUUUAAGACCUAUUUCCUAGAAACAAGAAAUGGGAGUUCUCUGUGGCACAGUGGGUUAAGGCUCUGUCAUUGUCACUGAAGGGGCUUGGAUCCCUGGGAACUACCACAUGCUGUGGGUGUAGACUCCCCCCACUCCCCCCCUAAUGAGAGAGAGAAAUGGGAGACACAGACAGGAUUUGCACCCAGGAGCCCCACAGGGUCCUGCUUGUUUCAAAACCAGGAUCAGAUUCCAGAACUAAGGGAUUAAAAUAGGGAACAUUGUCUGCUAGGAGCCUGAAGUUCAUUGGAAUCUGUCAUUAACAAAUUAAAAUAAUCAGUUCUCUGGUGGCCUAAGGGUUAAGAGG